ACUCGGUUGGCUCAGUUGGUAGAGCACGAGACUCUUUAUUAAUCUCAAAGUCAGGGGUUUGAGCCCCACCUUGGGCA
Non-coding RNA from Podarcis lilfordi (Lilford's wall lizard), 77 nucleotides. The record is from the annotation of a GenBank genome assembly. NCBI's taxonomy places the organism in Eukaryota, Metazoa, Chordata, Lepidosauria, Squamata, Lacertidae.